Molecule: long non-coding RNA, 599 nt
Filed under: Homo sapiens (human)
Lineage: Eukaryota; Metazoa; Chordata; Mammalia; Primates; Hominidae
Description: HSALNT0180837
Source: RNAcentral
AGCUGCUGUGACGUCUUUAGAAUUCUCAUGCUUUGAUGGCUGUUAGACUUCUGGUUGCUGACGUGUGUAGAAGGUUCUCUGUUGGGUAGUACAGUAAUGGGGAGAAGGUUCUCGGAUUUCUUCACAUGCUUUCCGUUCUCACUCAACCUGCUUUCGCCAAUGGACUCUGCAGAUUUUGGAGAAGUGAAGGUUGAUCCCAAGCUGACUUCUGCAUUUCUUCUUUGAGGGAUGGAUCUUUGUCUGAAGGACUUCUCCUGGAGAACACUGUAGUAGAUGGAACCACAGGAGCAUCAAGGGAAGAAUUCUUUGAUGGUGAGGAAUCUGGUAGUGCAGCUGAUGACAGAUCUUGUCAGAAGAACUGAAUGAUUUCCUGCUUCGAUGAAAGUCAGACCAGAAAGAAUGUCCUUUCUCUUGGCCCCAAAAAGGACCUUGUCCAAAUCUCCUCUGUUCUCCGCUUCGUCCAAAGGUUGCUACAAUAAUUCCAGCUGUGUAUACCUCCUGGGAUCAUAAUAGAAAUGAACCUCUGAAGCAUCUUACUGAAGAAGGCCCCUACGUUGACUGUCCAGCUGACUGUCUCUACCCGACUGCUGUCCCACACA